This 459-nucleotide ribosomal RNA is filed under the name uncultured bacterium. RNAcentral's name for it is "partial 16S ribosomal RNA". It matches the Rfam family "Bacterial small subunit ribosomal RNA", at positions 338 to 795 of the family's 1533-position model. The record is from RNAcentral.
CCUACGGGUGGCUGCAGUGAGGAAUAUUGGUCAAUGGGCGCGAGCCUGAACCAGCCAAGUCGCGUGAGGGCAGACGGUCCUAUGGAUUGUAAACCUCUUUUGUCGGGGAGCAAAAUCCGCCACGCGUGGGUUUCCGCGAGUACCCGAAGAAAAAGCAUCGGCUAACUCCGUGCCAGCAGCCGCGGUAAUACGGAGGAUGCGAGCGUUAUCCGGAUUUAUUGGGUUGAAAGGGUGCGUAGGCGGGAGAUCAAGUCAGCGGUAAAAUUGAGGGGCUCAACCUCUUCCAGCCGUUGAAACUGGUGUUCUUGAGUGAGUGAGAAGUAUGCGGAAUGCGUGGUGUAGCGGUGAAAUGCAUAGAUAUCACGCAGAACUCCGAUUGCGAAGGCAGCAUACCGGCGCUCAACUGACGCUCAUGCACGAAAGUGUGGGUAUCGAACAGGAUUAGAUACCCGUGUAGUC